RNAcentral lists this ribosomal RNA (1251 nucleotides) under Salmonella enterica. RNAcentral's name for it is "partial 23S ribosomal RNA". It matches the Rfam family "Bacterial large subunit ribosomal RNA", at positions 358 to 1533 of the family's 2925-position model. Lineage: Bacteria; Pseudomonadati; Pseudomonadota; Gammaproteobacteria; Enterobacterales; Enterobacteriaceae. The record is from RNAcentral.
UACAGGGUGACAGCCCCGUACACAAAAGCGCAUAUGCUGUGAGCUCGAUGAGUAGGGCGGGACACGUGGUAUCCUGUCUGAAUAUGGGGGGACCAUCCUCCAAGGCUAAAUACUCCUGACUGACCGAUAGUGAACCAGUACCGUGAGGGAAAGGCGAAAAGAACCCCGGCGAGGGGAGUGAAACAGAACCUGAAACCGUGUACGUACAAGCAGUGGGAGCACAGGUUUACCUGUGUGACUGCGUACCUUUUGUAUAAUGGGUCAGCGACUUAUAUUCUGUAGCAAGGUUAACCGCAUAGGGGAGCCGAAGGGAAACCGAGUCUUAAUUGGGCGUUAAGUUGCAGGGUAUAGACCCGAAACCCGGUGAUCUAGCCAUGGGCAGGUUGAAGGUUGGGUAACACUAACUGGAGGACCGAACCGACUAAUGUUGAAAAAUUAGCGGAUGACCUGUGGCUGGGGGUGAAAGGCCAAUCAAACCGGGAGAUAGCUGGUUCUCCCCGAAAGCUAUUUAGGUAGCGCCUCGUGAAUUCAUCUCCGGGGGUAGAGCACUGUUUCGGCUAGGGGGCCAUCCCGGCUUACCAACCCGAUGCAAACUGCGAAUACCGGAGAAUGUUAUCACGGGAGACACACGGCGGGUGCUAACGUCCGUCGUGAAGAGGGAAACAACCCAGACCGCCAGCUAAGGUCCCAAAGUCAUGGUUAAGUGGGAAACGAUGUGGGAAGGCCCAGACAGCCAGGAUGUUGGCUUAGAAGCAGCCAUCAUUUAAAGAAAGCGUAAUAGCUCACUGGUCGAGUCGGCCUGCGCGGAAGAUGUAACGGGGCUAAACCAUGCACCGAAGCUGCGGCAGCGAACGUAUCACUUAAAACGAUUCAGAAGCUUACGAUUGACGGAGCGAAGCGACGUCAAAGCGUAUACAAAGUCGAGUCGGUUUAAGGAUACGUUCGUUGGGUAGGGGAGCGUUCUGUAAGCCUGCGAAGGUGGCCUGUGAGGGUUGCUGGAGGUAUCAGAAGUGCGAAUGCUGACAUAAGUAACGAUAAAGCGGGUGAAAAGCCCGCUCGCCGGAAGACCAAGGGUUCCUGUCCAACGUUAAUCGGGGCAGGGUGAGUCGACCCCUAAGGCGAGGCCGAAAGGCGUAGUCGAUGGGAAACGGGUUAAUAUUCCCGUACUUGGUGUUACUGCGAAGGGGGGACGGAGAAGGCUAUGUUGGCCGGGCGACGGUUGUCCCGGUUUAAGCGUGUAGGCUGACUUUC